GCCCUGGUUGGUUCAGUUGGUUAGAGCAUUGUCCCGAUAAACCAAUUUUGUGGGUUUGAUCCCCAGUCAGGGCA
This is a non-coding RNA of Myotis brandtii (Brandt's bat), 74 nucleotides long. The record is from Rfam. Lineage: Eukaryota; Metazoa; Chordata; Mammalia; Chiroptera; Vespertilionidae.